GCACCAGGCGCUUUUUAGAGCAUUAGGCUUUUAACCUAACGGUCCUGGGUUCGAGUCCCAGUUCGGGCG
Molecule: transfer RNA, 69 nt
Filed under: Diaphorina citri (Asian citrus psyllid)
Lineage: Eukaryota; Metazoa; Arthropoda; Insecta; Hemiptera; Psyllidae
Rfam family: tRNA
About the family: Transfer RNA (tRNA) molecules are approximately 80 nucleotides in length. Their secondary structure includes four short double-helical elements and three loops (D, anti-codon, and T loops).
Source: Rfam by way of RNAcentral